This 463-nucleotide ribosomal RNA is filed under the name uncultured bacterium. Its description in RNAcentral is "partial 16S ribosomal RNA". It matches the Rfam family "Bacterial small subunit ribosomal RNA", at positions 28 to 505 of the family's 1533-position model. The record is from RNAcentral.
GACGAACGCUGGCGGCACGCUUAACACAUGCAAGUCGAACGAGAGAAGAGAAGCUUGCUUUUCUGAUCUAGUGGCGGACGGGUGAGUAACACGUGAGCAAUCUGCCUUUCAGAGGGGGAUACCGAUUGGAAACGAUCGUUAAUACCGCAUAACAUAAUUGAACCGCAUGAUUUGAUUAUCAAAGAUUUAUCGCUGAAAGAUGAGCUCGCGUCUGAUUAGCUAGUUGGUAAGGUAACGGCAUACCAAGGCGACGAUCAGUAGCCGGACUGAGAGGUUGAUCGGCCACAUUGGGACUGAGACACGGCCCAGACUCCUACGGGAGGCAGCAGUGGGGAAUAUUGCACAAUGGAGGAAACUCUGAUGCAGCGAUGCCGCGUGAGGGAAGAAGGUUUUAGGAUUGUAAACCUCUGUCUGCAGGGACGAAAAAAGACGGUACCUGAGGAGGAAGCUCCGGCUAACUACG